CGAGUACGAGACGCUAAGGCGUCGAAGUAGUGUAUGUCAGACUUCCAAGAAAAGCUCGCAAUGUCAUAUGAUAAAAAAUGCCUGUACCAUAACCGACACAGGUGGGUAGGUAGAGUAUACUAAGGGGCGCGAGAUAACUCUCUCUAAGGAACUCGGCAAAAUAACUCCGUAACUUCGGGAGAAGGAGUGCCUUAUUCUAUAAGGUUGCAAUAACAAGAUCCAAGCAACUGUUUAUCAAAAACACAGGUCUCCGCUAAGUCGUAAGACGAUGUAUGGGGGCUGACGCCUGCCCAGUGCCAGAAGGUUAAAGAAGUCGGUUAGCAUUAGCGAAGCUGGUAACUGAAGCCCUGGUGAACGGCGGCCGUAACAAUAACGGUCCUAAGGUAGCGAAAUUCCUUGUCGGGUAAGUUCCGACCCGCACGAAAGGCGUAAUGAUUUGGAUACUGUCUCGGAGAGGGGCUCGGUGAAAUAGACUUGUCUGUGAAGAUGCGGACUACCUGCACCAGGACAGAAAGACCCUAUGAAGCUUUACUGUAACUUGAAAUUGAAAUUGGACUUUAUUCGCGCAGUAUAGGUGGGAGGCGUUGAUUAUAAUCUUGUGGGAUUAUUGGAGCCAUCAGUGAGAUACCACUCUUGUAAUGUUAGAUUUCUAACUUUGAAUCAUUAUCUGGUCAAAGGACAGUUUCAGGCGGGCAGUUUGACUGGGGCGGUCGCCUCCUAAACGGUAACGGAGGCGUACAAAGGUUUCCUCUGAACGGGUAGAAAUCGUAUCUAGAGUGUAAAGGCAUAAGGAAGCUUGACUGUGAGACCUACAAGUCGAGCAGGGACGAAAGUCGGUCUUAGUGAUCUGACGGUACUGAGUGGAAAGGCCGUCACUCAACGGAUAAAAGUUACUCUAAGGAUAACAGGCUGAUCUCCCCCAAGAGUUCACAUCGACGGGGAGGUUUGGCACCUCGAUGUCGGCUCAUCGCAUCCUGGGGCGGUAGUACGUCCCAAGGGUUGGGCUGUUCGCCCAUGAAAGCGGUACGCGAGCUGGGUUCAGAACGUCGUGAGACAGUUCGGUCCAUAUCCGGUGUAGGCGUUAGAAUAUUGAGAGGAGCCCUCUUUAGUACGAGAGGACCGAGAAGGACAUACCUCUGGUGUACCAGUUAUCGUGCCAACGGUAAACGCUGGGUAGCUAUGUAUGGAGUGGAUAACCGCUGAAAGCAUCUAAGUGGGAAGCCCACCUCAAGAUAAGUAUUCAC
RNAcentral lists this ribosomal RNA (1244 nucleotides) under metagenome. Its description in RNAcentral is "bacterial LSU rRNA". It matches the Rfam family "Bacterial large subunit ribosomal RNA", at positions 1564 to 2815 of the family's 2925-position model. The record is from RNAcentral.